CAGCCGCGCGGGAAUACGUAGGGUGCGAGCGUUAAUCGGAAUUACUGGGCGUAAAGCGUGCGCAGGCGGUUGUGUAAGACAGGUGUGAAAUCCCCGGGCUUAACCUGGGAACUGCGCUUGUGACUGCACAGCUAGAGUAUGGCAGAGGGGGGUGGAAUUCCACGUGUAGCAGUGAAAUGCGUAGAGAUGUGGAGGAACACCGAUGGCGAAGGCAGCCCCCUGGGCCAAUACUGACGCUCAUGCACGAAAGCGUGGGGAGCAAACAGGAUUAGAUACCCGCGUAGUCCCUGUCUCUUAUACA
This 301-nucleotide ribosomal RNA is filed under the name uncultured bacterium. Its description in RNAcentral is "partial 16S ribosomal RNA". It matches the Rfam family "Bacterial small subunit ribosomal RNA", at positions 509 to 808 of the family's 1533-position model. The record is from RNAcentral.